This 621-nucleotide ribosomal RNA is filed under the name Bacillus sp. (in: firmicutes). RNAcentral describes it as "bacterial SSU rRNA". It matches the Rfam family "Bacterial small subunit ribosomal RNA", at positions 131 to 737 of the family's 1533-position model. The record is from RNAcentral. Lineage: Bacteria; Bacillati; Bacillota; Bacilli; Caryophanales; Bacillaceae.
UGUAAGACUGGGAUAACUCCGGGAAACCGGGGCUAAUACCGGAUGCUUGUUUGAACCGCAUGGUUCAAACAUAAAAGGUGGCUUCGGCUACCACUUACAGAUGGACCCGCGGCGCAUUAGCUAGUUGGUGAGGUAACGGCUCACCAAGGCGACGAUGCGUAGCCGACCUGAGAGGGUGAUCGGCCACACUGGGACUGAGACACGGCCCAGACUCCUACGGGAGGCAGCAGUAGGGAAUCUUCCGCAAUGGACGAAAGUCUGACGGAGCAACGCCGCGUGAGUGAUGAAGGUUUUCGGAUCGUAAAGCUCUGUUGUUAGGGAAGAACAAGUGCCGUUCAAAUAGGGCGGCACCUUGACGGUACCUAACCAGAAAGCCACGGCUAACUACGUGCCAGCAGCCGCGGUAAUACGUAGGUGGCAAGCGUUGUCCGGAAUUAUUGGGCGUAAAGGGCUCGCAGGCGGUUUCUUAAGUCUGAUGUGAAAGCCCCCGGCUCAACCGGGGAGGGUCAUUGGAAACUGGGGAACUUGAGUGCAGAAGAGGAGAGUGGAAUUCCACGUGUAGCGGUGAAAUGCGUAGAGAUGUGGAGGAACACCAGUGGCGAACGCGACUCUCUGGUCUGU